This 254-nucleotide ribosomal RNA is filed under the name uncultured bacterium. RNAcentral's name for it is "partial 16S ribosomal RNA". It matches the Rfam family "Bacterial small subunit ribosomal RNA", at positions 524 to 776 of the family's 1533-position model. The record is from RNAcentral.
UACGUAGGGACCAAGCGUUGUUCGGAUUUACUGGGCGUAAAGGGCGCGUAGGCGGCAAAUUAAGUCAUCUGUGAAAUCUCCGAGCUUAACUCGGAACGGUCAGGUAAUACUGAUCUGCUAGAGUGCGGAAGGGGCAAUCGGAAUUCUUGGUGUAGCGGUGAAAUGCGUAGAUAUCAAGAGGAACACCUGAGGUGAAGACGGGUUGCUGGGCCGACACUGACGCUGACAGCGCGAAAGCCAGGGGAGCAAACGGG